This is a long non-coding RNA of Triticum aestivum (bread wheat), 2150 nucleotides long. RefSeq lists it as uncharacterized. The transcript has 7 exons. The record is from RefSeq and is a predicted model, not a curated record. Lineage: Eukaryota; Viridiplantae; Streptophyta; Magnoliopsida; Poales; Poaceae.
AGAAGCGAUUGGGUAGGGGCUGGGCUAGAUAACACCACCCUCUACUUUUCCCUUCCUCACAAAGCAAACGCACGGGCCAUGUUCUCCAGCUCCACACGCAACCACUCCUCCGCGUCGCCGCCGCCUCUGCCUCACCCCGACUCCUUCCGCAGCAAUGGCCUACCUCAUCUCCCCUCCGCCGAUGUGGUGCUAGCCACCACCACCGAGCCCUAGCAGCAAAGGGAGCGGUGGCUUAUUCCACGCGUGCAGCGGCGACCCCGGGAGGAGCUCAAGCCGCAGCGAUGGUCCACCGCGCCGGCGCCGUCGUCGACCGGCAGUGGAGGAGCAGCAGCGGCCAACGGCAGAUCGGCGUGUCAUGGGAGCAGACACGGCGGCCGUCACGGGCAGAGCAGAGCGAAGUUGGCAUGGCGGCUAGGCGGUUGUCCGGACUGGAUCCCGCCAUCACCACCAGCCACCGCCUCGUUUGUCCGUGUCCAUCUCGGCGAAACCAAGGGUCUGCCUCGUGUCCUGCGAGGUGACACUCCACCGCCACCGCUCUGCUGCUUCCGCCCUACGCUUCGCUCCCUCCCGUGCCAUCCUCACCUCCGACAAAAAGGACCUCUUGGACGUCAUUGCACAUGCUGGCCUCUUCCGACCCCGUGGCCACCGUGAUCAGGUAAUUGAUUUUGUGUUCCUGGGUUCGGGUAAGAAGCUAGUGACCUGCUCCAAGGACAAGGUUAUCUGGGUUUGGGACCUCGACACACAACACUGCCUUCAAAUUGUAAGGUGUCCAUCACAUCAAGAUAUGGUCGAUGGAUGUUGAUUCUAGCGAGAAGUUUUUGAUGUCUGUCUCGGCCGAUCAAGAGUUGUGGGUGUUCAAAAUCAGGCAAUCAGCUGAACAGGGUGAAGAUUGGAACAAAUGGGAUGCACUUCAGCAUUGAUCUAUUGUGAUUCCUUUUCCCCUUUAAUAACGUGUACGUAUAGGGUAGUCAAGCGCCACAGGAUAUCAUCCUUUGUUGUGGAUGAGAAUGGGAUGAUCAAUCGGAUUGCCGGGGUAGUACAACAUUGAGUCAUUGGCAGUUGGGCUCAACAAGGACAAGGCGUUGUUCACCAUAGGGGUAUUAGGAACAGAGAAAAUACUCACACAAGGCAUGGAGCAGCUACAAACUUGUUAAUGUUAUACACGUCAGCAUUUUCUUCUUCCAGUAUCCCGUGAAUAUUAAAAAUGUUUGCUAACUAAUAGUCAUCACAGUAUCUGAUAUUCGUAGUUUUAUAUAUCAAUUGACAGGUUGAUGAUUUGUCAAAGGAAUUUUAUUGCAAAUUCCUGUAGGCCUGAAAAUGCACACUAUCAUAACAGAGUAAUGUGCAAGUACACAAUGUCAUAGUAGAAAAAUAGAAUUUUGACUGAUUAUUUAACAUCACUGUGAGCUUUCCUUUAAAUUUGUGCCUUUUGAUUUACCCCUGCUAUUGUAUAAGUAUGUGUAGGUUGAUUUUGCUUAUUGUGUGUUUUAUACAGAGAGCAGCUUCCCUUGCGCCGUCAUCCAUCCACCAACAAGCCCAUGACCAUGCAUCAGAGAAUGAAAAGCAUCUUUCACGCUGCCAACGGGAUCUGGACCAAUAAGAGGAUCAGGAGGACGAAUACAGUGGACACUACUACUCAGCAAGAUACAGUUCAAACCCUGUAUCCUCCUGAUUGAUCUCCCUUCGCCCCUGUUUAAGAAUCAUGUUUCACCCAUUCAGUGUUGUCUUCAGAAUUAUAGACACCUCAUUCUAUAAGGAGGCCGCCACCAAGAAGAGCGAGGUUGUGUCAAUGGACUCAGCGACAAGUUGUAGAAAGAAACAAGGCUUAUGUUAGGCAAAGUUGAUUAGGUUGUACUACACACCGAGUGCCUCCAUAAGAAUCUAGAUAAAAUGCCAUAAAAGACUGUUCUAGAUAAGAUGAUGGCUAUCAAUGUGAGCGACUGAGCUUUUAUGUCCAGAAAAUGCUCACUAAUAAAAUCUGGAAUGUCUUAUGUUUCUCAUCUUUUUUCUUCAUUUGUAUGGUUAAAGUUUGGCUUCAAACCAACAAAUAGUUAAUAUUAAAUUAAGCUAUUUUCCCGCUCCCCUCUUCAGUUGGCAAACCCAUCAAGGAAUUGUUGUAAUGAAUAUAUUUUAUAUGGUUACAUCCACAA